AUAUCUACACAGUAAAAAUGCCAGUGUUAAAAUCUCAGGUGUAGUGUUAAAUAAAGAGUGUGAGUGUUGUUUUGACACCACACAGCUUUAAAAUAACACUGCAAGUGUAAACUCCGUAAUAUUUGCGUUGUUAAAUUCCAGUGUUAAUUGGUUGGUGUUGCUUAAGCCCCGCCUUCGCGUAACGGCUGCAGAGCACGUUCUACCUUCUGUCGUCACGCCACCAGCCAGUCGGUCGGUACGGCUUCAUUUCGCCCACGGAAGACACAAUUCUUUCCUAAAGGUGAGCUAAAUAUUCAUACAUGACCAUUGUUUCGUUGGAAAUGUGCUUUUUAGUUUGAGACUUCAAAGAGUGCACGAUAUUCAACCCAUUUUGCAUGGAAAAUCCACCAAAUUCAAGGUCCCGCCGUUUUGCCAAAUCUAGGCGAACGGUAAAUUUGAAUUCUGUUAUAUUUGGUAAGUUCUAGUUGUCAUUUUAAACCAUGGAUAAUACUUGUAUUUCUGUAUUAUUUGAAAUAUUGGCGAUGUGUGUAUCUAAAAAGCUAACUUUGCAAACGGUAGCAGAUUCUGACUAGCUAGCUAGCUCAACACUCUAGCUUGGAUGAAGUGUAUAUAGUUGACAGAGCUGACGUGUUCAAAGUGAUAGUGGAAGUGAUAAAGGGUUGGUUUAAAAUAUCUGUAAGGUGGCAAAGCUUGGACCGUGUCCCUUUUUUGUUAUGCAGAAAUGCUGGUUCAAGUGGAGUAUCAGACCGUCCAGAAAUGGGUUCGGGUUCCAGUGACGGAUGACUGCUAUGAUUACUUGAAAUUCAUGCUCGAGGUUCAUGUUAAAUUCAAUUUGGCAAGUGAAAUCUGUGUAGACCUGAAGGAAUCUUCUGGAGUUGAUGUGGAUGCUGAUAUUUUUGAUGAACUCCUGAGGUCUGCUACAGUGUCUUUCAAAGUAGUAACUAACACUUUGUGGGCGCCGUUGACGAGAGUGAGGUAACAGACGCUUCCUUCAGUUCUGAAGAUGGGUUAGCCUCGUCAGUUCAAUCUCCAAGCUCAGCGAUCUCAUCUUCUACAGUGAUCACAGAGAACACCAAAGCACAGAGAUAACGACUGGCUGAAGGACCACCUGACGGCAAGAUGGCA
This is a long non-coding RNA of Xiphophorus hellerii (green swordtail), 1125 nucleotides long. RefSeq lists it as uncharacterized. Lineage: Eukaryota; Metazoa; Chordata; Actinopteri; Cyprinodontiformes; Poeciliidae. The transcript has 3 exons. The record is from RefSeq and is a predicted model, not a curated record.